CCUGCCUGAAUGACCGGGACAACACCGGGAAACUGGUGCUAAUACCGGAUAAGCUCUUGAGUGCACAAGCACACAAGAGGAAAGGAUUUAACUUUCGCAUUCAGAUGGGUCCGCGUCCCAUUAGCUAGUUGGUGGUGUAAAGGGCCACCAAGGCGACGAUGGGUAGCCGGCCUGAGAGGGUGGGCGGCCACACUGGAACUGAGACACGGUCCAGACUCCUACGGGAGGCAGCAGUGGGGAAUCUUCCGCAAUGGGCGCAAGCCUGACGGAGCAACGCCGCGUGAAUGAAGAAGGCCUUCGGGUUGUAAAAUUCUGUCUUUGGGGAAGAAAAAAAUGACGGUACCCAAGGAGGAAGCCCCGGCUAACUACGUGCCAGCAGCCGCGGUAAAACGUAGGGGGCAAGCGUUGUCCGGAAUUACUGGGCGUAAAGGGCGUGUAGGCGGUCACUUAAGUCAGGGGUGAAAACUGUGGGCUCAAGCCACAGCCUGCCUUUGAAACUGGGUGGCUUGAGGACAGGAGAGGGGAGUGGAUUCCCAGUGUAGCGGUGAAAUGCGUAGAUAUUGGGAGGAACACCAGUGGCGAAGGCGGCUCUCUGGCCUGUUUCUGACGCUGAGACGCGAAAGCGUGGGUAGCGAACGGGAUUAAAUACCCCGGUAGUCAGGCCGUAAACGAUGGGUGCUA
This 681-nucleotide ribosomal RNA is filed under the name uncultured bacterium. Its description in RNAcentral is "bacterial SSU rRNA". It matches the Rfam family "Bacterial small subunit ribosomal RNA", at positions 125 to 818 of the family's 1533-position model. The record is from RNAcentral.